Molecule: ribosomal RNA, 549 nt
Filed under: Triticum aestivum (bread wheat)
Lineage: Eukaryota; Viridiplantae; Streptophyta; Magnoliopsida; Poales; Poaceae
Description: partial small subunit ribosomal RNA
Source: RNAcentral
AUACUACAGAAAUUCAGAGAAUAUUUGUCCUCAAAAGAUAUUGGGAUCCACACUCCAAAGCUGAUUUCAGGGUCAAGUGAAGGUGGAGCAGCAGUAUUCAAACUUGAAUAUAAGAAUGGCAAGUGUGCUUGUUUAGCACAAUCCCCUCAGCUGCACAAGCAGCUGGCUAUCUGUGGUGGGUUCCGUCGUGUCUUAGAGGUUGGGGAUGUGUUUAGAGCUGAAGAUUCCAACACACAUAGGCAUCUGUGUGAGUUUGUUGGUUUGGACGCUGAAAUGGAGAUUAUGAGGCACUCCUUUGAGAUUUGCGAUAUUGUGGAUGGAUUAUUUGUAGAAUUGUUCAGACACUUGAAUGAAAAUUGGAAGACGGAACUCGAGGCAUUUAAUAGGCAGUAUCCAUUUGAACUAGUGAAGUACCUAGAGGGUAUCUUGAGGCUCAGUUACGAGGAAGGAAUACAACUGUUGAAGGUACAAACAUGUAGCAAUUUCAUUACCACCCUGAUGUUUUUCUCUCAUCAUUUGAAUUUUAUACUGUUCUCGUGCAGUAUAUAA